Molecule: ribosomal RNA, 216 nt
Filed under: uncultured bacterium
Lineage: Bacteria
Description: partial 16S ribosomal RNA
Rfam family: Bacterial small subunit ribosomal RNA
Source: RNAcentral
UACGAAGGGGGGCUAGCGUUGUUCGGAUUUACUGGGCGUAAAGCGCACGUAGGCGGUUUUGUUAAGUGAGAGGUGAAAUCCCAGAGCUCAACUCUGGAACUGCCUUUCAUACUGGCAAGCUAGAGUCCGGAAGAGGUAAGUGGAACUCCUAGUGUAGAGGUGGAAUUCGUAGAUAUUGGAAGAACACCAGUGGCGAAGGCGGCUUACUGGUCCGGA